This 252-nucleotide unclassified non-coding RNA is filed under the name uncultured Pirellulaceae bacterium. Its description in RNAcentral is "contains 16S-23S intergenic spacer region". It matches the Rfam family "Bacterial small subunit ribosomal RNA", at positions 524 to 776 of the family's 1533-position model. Lineage: Bacteria; Pseudomonadati; Planctomycetota; Planctomycetia; Pirellulales; Pirellulaceae. The record is from RNAcentral.
GACGAACCGUCCAAACGUUAUUCGGAAUCAUUGGGCUUAAAGGGUGCGUAGGCGGUGCUGUAAGUCGGGUGUGAAAGCCUCGGCUCAACCCAGGAAGUGCGCCCGAUACUGCAGUGCUUGAGGGAGACAGAGGCGAGCGGAACUGAUGGUGGAGCGGUGAAAUGCGUUGAUAUCAUCAGGAACACCGGUGGCGAAAGCGGCUCGCUGGGUCUCUUCUGACGCUGAGGCACGAAAGCUAGGGUAGCGAACGGG